AACGAACGCUGGCGGCAUGCCUAACACAUGCAAGUCGAACGAGACCUUCGGGUCUAGUGGCGCACGGGUGCGUAACGCGUGGGAACCUGCCCUUAGGUUCGGAAUAACUCCCCGAAAGGGGUGCUAAUACCGGAUAAUGUCUUCGGACCAAAGAUUUAUCGCCUUUGGAUGGGCCCGCGUUGGAUUAGCUAGUUGGUAGGGUAAAAGCCUACCAAGGCGACGAUCCAUAGCUGGUCUGAGAGGAUGAUCAGCCACACUGGGACUGAGACACGGCCCAGACUCCUACGGGAGGCAGCAGUGGGGAAUAUUGGCCAAUGGGCGAAAGCCUGAUCCAGCAAUACCGCGUGAGUGAUGAAGGCCUUAGGGUUGUAAAGCUCUUUUACCCGGGAUGAUAAUGACAGUACCGGGAGAAUAAGCUCCGGCUAACUCCGUG
Molecule: ribosomal RNA, 433 nt
Filed under: uncultured bacterium
Lineage: Bacteria
Description: partial 16S ribosomal RNA
Rfam family: Bacterial small subunit ribosomal RNA
Source: RNAcentral